UAGGGAAUCUUCGGCAAUGGACGAAAGUCUGACCGAGCAACGCCGCGUGAGUGAAGAAGGUUUUCGGAUCGUAAAACUCUGUUGUUAGAGAAGAACAAGGACGUUAGUAACUGAACGUCACCUGACGGUAUCUAACCAGAAAGCCACGGCUAACUAUGUGCCAGCAGCAGCGGUAAUACGUAGGUGGCAAGCGUUGUCCGGAUUUAUUGGGCGUAAAGCGAGCGCAGGCGGUUUCUUAAGUCUGAUGUGAAAGCCCCCGGCUCAACCGGGGAGGGUCAUUGGAAGCUGGGAGACUGGGGUGUAGAAGAAGAGAGUGGAAUUCCAUGUGUAGCGGUGGAAUGCGUGAAUCUAUAGAGGAACACCAGUGGCCAAGGCGGCUCUCUGGUCUGUAACUGACGCUGAGGCUCGAAAGCGUGGGCAGCAAACAGG
RNAcentral lists this ribosomal RNA (429 nucleotides) under Gemmatimonadota bacterium. RNAcentral describes it as "Gemmatimonadetes bacterium partial 16S ribosomal RNA". It matches the Rfam family "Bacterial small subunit ribosomal RNA", at positions 355 to 776 of the family's 1533-position model. The record is from RNAcentral. Lineage: Bacteria; Pseudomonadati; Gemmatimonadota.